This 172-nucleotide unclassified non-coding RNA is filed under the name uncultured Peziza. RNAcentral describes it as "partial internal transcribed spacer 2". Lineage: Eukaryota; Fungi; Ascomycota; Pezizomycetes; Pezizales; Pezizaceae. The record is from RNAcentral.
CCCCCCCACUCAAGCUCUUUUGCUUGGAUUAUUUUGGGCGAGCAGCUGUAAAAAGUUGCUGUCCACAAAUUCAUAGGCAGUAUGGUCUUUUCCAAGCUGAACGUAAUAAUUAAAAAAAUCACGUUUACUUUGAGAGAUAUUGUACUUGCCCUUAACCCACAAAUUUCUUUAU